RNAcentral lists this ribosomal RNA (99 nucleotides) under Erwinia wuhanensis. Its description in RNAcentral is "partial 23S ribosomal RNA". It matches the Rfam family "Bacterial large subunit ribosomal RNA", at positions 1 to 99 of the family's 2925-position model. The record is from RNAcentral. Lineage: Bacteria; Pseudomonadati; Pseudomonadota; Gammaproteobacteria; Enterobacterales; Erwiniaceae.
GGUUAAGUGACUAAGCGUACACGGUGGAUGCCCUGGCAGUCAGAGGCGAUGAAGGGCGUGCUAAUCUGCGAUAAGCGUCGGUAAGGUGAUAUGAACCGC